This 446-nucleotide ribosomal RNA is filed under the name Aeribacillus sp. G23D015. RNAcentral's name for it is "bacterial SSU rRNA". It matches the Rfam family "Bacterial small subunit ribosomal RNA", at positions 95 to 526 of the family's 1533-position model. The record is from RNAcentral. Lineage: Bacteria; Bacillati; Bacillota; Bacilli; Caryophanales; Bacillaceae.
GCGGCGGACGGGUGAGUUCACGUGGGCAACCUGCCCUGCAGACUGGGAUAACUUCGGGAAACCGGAGCUAAUACCGGAUAACACCGAAAACCGCAUGGUUUUCGGUUGAAAGGCGGCUUUUAGCUGUCACUGCAGGAUGGGCCCGCGGCGCAUUAGCUAGUUGGUGAGGUAACGGCUCACCAAGGCGACGAUGCGUAGCCGACCUGAGAGGGUGACCGGCCACACUGGGACUGAGACACGGCCCAGACUCCUACGGGAGGCAGCAGUAGGGAAUCUUCCGCAAUGGACGAAAGUCUGACGGAGCAACGCCGCGUGAGCGAAGAAGGUCUUCGGAUCGUAAAGCUCUGUUGUCAGGGAAGAACAAGUGCCGUUCGAACAGGGCGGUACCUUGACGGUACCUGACGAGGAAGCCACGGCUAACUACGUGCCAGCAGCCGCGGUAAUAC